This 344-nucleotide unclassified non-coding RNA is filed under the name uncultured bacterium. Its description in RNAcentral is "contains 16S-23S intergenic spacer region". The record is from RNAcentral.
UAAUCCGAGAAUUUCACCUCCAACAGUUAAAUACGAAUGCCCCCAACUAUCCCUUUGCGCAUCAGUCUCACAAUCGAAACCAACAAACUUGGAGUGCGACUCUUUGGUGUUAUUCCAUGCUAAUAUAUAUGAGCCCCUGCUCGCUCGAAGCACACUGAUUUCCUCAAAGUAAAUGCGGCAGACCCCGUGCCGCAGAGUCAACUGCAGCGCGGAGAAUACCGUGAUGCCCCUGACAAGCUGAAUUCGCGUCCAAAGGACGGACCCCCUGUCCGCGACAGGCUUUCGACUACGAACUUUUUAACCGCAGCAGCUUUAAUAUACGCUAUUGGAGCUGGAAUUACCGC